Sphaeramia orbicularis (orbiculate cardinalfish) is the source of this 136-nucleotide long non-coding RNA. RefSeq lists it as uncharacterized. The record is from RefSeq and is a predicted model, not a curated record. The transcript is spliced from 3 exons. Lineage: Eukaryota; Metazoa; Chordata; Actinopteri; Kurtiformes; Apogonidae.
UAAGGCAAACAUGCUAAAUGGGUUGCACAAACUAUUUUGCCCAUUUGACAGAUGCAACCCUUGGUGUGUCCUGUUAGUAGAUAAGCUUCAAUGUGUUUAUGCGUGCACAGUCAAGUUUGCACACUUUUUUACACAA